UACGUAGGGUGCAAGCGUUAAUCGGAAUGACUGGGCGUAAAGGGUGUGUAGGCGGUCUGCUAAGUCUGAUGUGAAAUCCCCGGGCUCAACCUGGGAACUGCGUUGGAAACUAGCAAACUAGAGUACGUAAGAGGGGGGUGGAAUUCCACGUGUAGCAGUGAAAUGCGUAGAGAUGUGGAGGAACACCGAUGGCGAAGGCAACCAUCUGGACCGACACUGACGCUGAGGCGCGAAGGCUAGGGGAGCGAACGGG
Molecule: ribosomal RNA, 253 nt
Filed under: uncultured bacterium
Lineage: Bacteria
Description: partial 16S ribosomal RNA
Rfam family: Bacterial small subunit ribosomal RNA
Source: RNAcentral